Molecule: small RNA, 981 nt
Filed under: Pan troglodytes (chimpanzee)
Lineage: Eukaryota; Metazoa; Chordata; Mammalia; Primates; Hominidae
Description: processed transcript
Source: RNAcentral
AACCAGUGAGGCGCGGGCCAACCUAGUGCGACGUGUGGGCGUGGCGGGGGCUGGGGUCUGCGGGCGAAGGUGGCAGCCCAUUGGAGGUCCCGGGAGCGAAGUCCAGCUGCCGUUAGGCGCUGGGAUAGUCGCACGCUGGAUGCAUCUACGUCCGCCGAGCCCCUGGGGCGAAGAGGCCGCGUCCGCCUUCAGUUGUGGCCGGUGCUUCGCCCCCUGACCCUUCGCCCCCAAAGACCAGCUCUAACGUGAGCGCCUCGGCCGCCCUGCCCCAGCCUCGUACACGCCGCCAGCCUCGCCCAGCCGGUGUCCGGAGACCCUCGGGCCGUGUCCAUUUGUGGGCAAAGCCAGCGGGGCAGGCUUGGCCAGAGUGCACCACUCGGCGCCGUCCCAGGCCCGACGCUCUGGGCGCGCCCGGAACCCCAGGUUAAUUUGGAGUGGCCCCUGGAGUCAGUCUCCUACACCAUCCGAGGCCCCACCCAGCACGAGCUACAGCCUCCACCAGGAGGGCCUGGAACCCUCAGCCUGCACUUCCUCAACCCUCAGGAAGCUCAGCGGUGGGCAGUCCUAGUCCGAGGUGCCACCGUGGAAGGACAGAAUGGCAGCAACAGCAACUCACCACCAGCCUUGGGCCCAGAAGCAUGCCCUGUCUCCCUGCCCAGUCCCCCGGAAGCCCCCACACUCAAGGGCCCUCAACCUGAGGCAGAUCUUCCUAGGAGCCCUGGCAACUUGACGGAGAGAGAAGAGCUGGCAGGGAGCCUGGCCCGGGCUAUUGCAGGUGGAGACGAGAAGGGGGCAGCCCAAGUGGCAGCCGUCCUGGCCCAGCAUCGUGUGGCCCUGAGUGUUCAGCUUCAGGAGGCCUGCUUCCCACCUGGCCCCAUCAGGCUGCAGGUCACACUUGAAGACGCUGCCUCUGCCGCAUCCGCCGCGUCCUCUGCACACGUUGCCCUGCAGGUCCACCCCCACCGCACCGUUGCAGCUCUC